GUGGGGAAUAUUGGACAAUGGGCGAAAGCCUGAUCCAGCCAUGCCGCGUGUGUGAAGAAGGUCUUCGGAUUGUAAAGCACUUUAAGUUGGGAGGAAGGGUAGUAACCUAAUACGUUGCUACUUUGACGUUACCGACAGAAUAAGCACCGGCUAACUUCGUGCCAGCAGCCGCGGUAAUACGAAGGGUGCAAGCGUUAAUCGGAAUUACUGGGCGUAAAGCGCGCGUAGGUGGUUCAGUAAGUUGGAAGUGAAAUCCCCGGGCUCAACCUGGGAACUGCUUUCAAAACUGCUGAGCUAGAGUACGGUAGAGGGUGGUGGAAUUUCCUGUGUAGCGGUGAAAUGCGUAGAUAUAGGAAGGAACACCAGUGGCGGAGGCGACCACCUGGACUGAUACUGACACUGAGGUGCGAAAGCGUGGGGAGCAAACAGGAUUAGAUACCCCGGUAGUCC
RNAcentral lists this ribosomal RNA (450 nucleotides) under uncultured bacterium. Its description in RNAcentral is "bacterial SSU rRNA". It matches the Rfam family "Bacterial small subunit ribosomal RNA", at positions 354 to 796 of the family's 1533-position model. The record is from RNAcentral.